AGAGUUUGAUCCUGGCUCAGAUUGAACGCUGGCGGCAGGCUUAACACAUGCAAGUCGAGCGGUAACAGAGAUAGCUUGCUAUCUGCUGACGAGCGGCGGACGGGUGAGUAAUGCUUGGGAAUAUGCCUUAUGGUGGGGGACAACAGUUGGAAACGACUGCUAAUACCGCAUAACGUCUACGGACCAAAGGGGGGGAUCUUCGGACCUCUCGCCAUUUGAUUAGCCCAAGUGAGAUUAGCUAGUUGGUAAGGUAAUGGCUUACCAAGGCGACGAUCUCUAGCUGGUUUGAGAGGAUGAUCAGCCACACUGGGACUGAGACACGGCCCAGACUCCUACGGGAGGCAGCAGUGGGGAAUAUUGCACAAUGGGCGAAAGCCUGAUGCAGCCAUGCCGCGUGUGUGAAGAAGGCCUUCGGGUUGUAAAGCACUUUCAGUUGUGAGGAAAGGGGUGUAGUUAAUAGCUGCAUCCUGUGACGUUAACAACAGAAGAAGCACCGGCUA
This 500-nucleotide ribosomal RNA is filed under the name uncultured bacterium. RNAcentral's name for it is "bacterial SSU rRNA". It matches the Rfam family "Bacterial small subunit ribosomal RNA", at positions 8 to 499 of the family's 1533-position model. The record is from RNAcentral.